UUUUAUGGAGAGUUUGAUCCUGGCUCAGGAUGAACGCUGGCGGCGUGCCUAAUACAUGCAAGUCGAGCGAACGGACGAGAAGCUUGCUUCUCUGAUGUUAGCGGCGGACGGGUGAGUAACACGUGGAUAACCUACCUAUAAGACUGGGAUAACUUCGGGAAACCGGAGCUAAUACCGGAUAAUAUUUUGAACCGCAUGGUUCAAAAGUGAAAGACGGUCUUGCUGUCACUUAUAGAUGGAUCCGCGCUGCAUUAGCUAGUUGGUAAGGUAACGGCUUACCAAGGCAACGAUGCAUAGCCGACCUGAGAGGGUGAUCGGCCACACUGGAACUGAGACACGGUCCAGACUCCUACGGGAGGCAGCAGUAGGGAAUCUUCCGCAAUG
Molecule: ribosomal RNA, 384 nt
Filed under: Staphylococcus aureus
Lineage: Bacteria; Bacillati; Bacillota; Bacilli; Caryophanales; Staphylococcaceae
Description: bacterial SSU rRNA
Rfam family: Bacterial small subunit ribosomal RNA
Source: RNAcentral